GCUCAGUUGGUUAAGUGUCAGACUCUUGGUUUCAGCUCAAGUCAUGAUCUCACGAUUUUUGUGGGUUCGAACCCUGCAUUGGGCU
This 85-nucleotide transfer RNA is filed under the name Felis catus (domestic cat). It matches the Rfam family "tRNA". From Rfam's summary of the family: Transfer RNA (tRNA) molecules are approximately 80 nucleotides in length. The record is from Rfam by way of RNAcentral. Lineage: Eukaryota; Metazoa; Chordata; Mammalia; Carnivora; Felidae.